This 2144-nucleotide ribosomal RNA is filed under the name human gut metagenome. RNAcentral describes it as "bacterial LSU rRNA". It matches the Rfam family "Bacterial large subunit ribosomal RNA", at positions 1 to 1985 of the family's 2925-position model. The record is from RNAcentral.
GUAAGUUAUUAAGGGCACACGGUGGAUGCCUUGGCAUUAAGAGCCGAUGAAGGACGUGUGAAUCUGCGAUAAGCCUCGGGGAGCCGAUAACUGGGCGUUGAUCCGAGGAUUUCCGAAUGGGGAAACCUGGCUCAUCUUCAUGGUGAGUUACCGCCAGCUGAAUGUAUAGGCUGGUUGGGGGGAACGCGGGGAAGUGAAACAUCUCAGUACCCGCAGGAAGAGAAAAUAAAGUAAUGAUUCUGUGAGUAGUGGCGAGCGAAAGCGGAAGAGACUAAACCUGUGGUGUGUGAUAGCGGUUAGGCGUUGCAUCAUGGGGGUUGUGGGAGUCACAGUGGCAGUUCUAACUGGCUGCCGGCAUGAUGUUCAGGAUGGUAGGUGAACGACUUGGAAUGGUCGGCCGUAGAGGGUGAGAGUCCCGUAAUCGAAAUUGUUCUGUCCGUGGUGUGGCCACCCGAGUAGCACGGGGCUCGUGGAAUCUCGUGUGAAUCUGCCAGGACCACCUGGUAAGUCUAAAUACUUCUUAGUGACCGAUAGUGAAUCAGUACCGUGAGGGAAUGGUGAAAAGUACCCCGGGAGGGGAGUGAAAUAGUACCUGAAACCGUGUGCUUACAAGCCGUUGGAGCCUUUUGGGGUGACAGCGUGCCUUUUGAAGAAUGAGCCUGCGAGUUAGUGUUAUGUCGCGAGGUUAACCCGUGUGGGGUAUCCGUAGCGAAAGCGAGUCUGAAUAGGGCGUUUGAGUGGCAUGACCUAGACCCGAAGCGGAGUGAUCUAUCCAUGGCCAGGUUGAAGCGACGGUAAGACGUCGUGGAGGACCGAACCCACUUCAGUUGAAAAUGGAGGGGAUGAGCUGUGGAUAGGGGUGAAAGGCCAAUCAAACUCUGUGAUAGCUGGUUCUCCCCGAAAUGCAUUUAGGUGCAGCGUUACGUGUUUCUUGCCGGAGGUAGAGCUACUGGAUGGCCGAUGGGCCUUCACGGGUUACUGACGUCAGCUAAACUCCGAAUGCCGGUAAGUGAGAGCGUAGCAGUGAGACAGUGGGGGAUAAGCUUCAUUGUCGAGAGGGAAACAGCCCAGACCACCAACUAAGGCCCCUAAGCGUGUGCUAAGUGGGAAAGGAUGUGGAGUUGCUUAGACAACCAGGAGGUUGGCUUAGAAGCAGCCACCCUUGAAAGAGUGCGUAACAGCUCACUGGUCAAGUGAUUCUGCGCCGAUAAUGUAGCGGGGCUCAAGUACACCGCCGAAGUUGUGGCAAUGACCUUUUUUGGUUGUUGGGUAGGGGAGCGUCGUGUGGCCGUUGAAGCUGCGGUGUAAACCAGUGGUGGAGGCUAUGCGAGUGAGAAUGCAGGCAUGAGUAGCGAAAGAUGAGUGAGAAACUCAUCCGCCGGAUGAUCAAGGGUUCCAGGGUCAAGUUAAUCUGCCCUGGGUUAGUCGGGGCCUAAGGCGAGGCCGACAGGCGUAGUCGAUGGAUAACGGGUUGAUAUUCCCGUACCGGUGAAGAACCGCCCAUACUGAUAUUGUGAUGCUAACCAUGCGAAGCAUGAUGUGCAGGCUUUUGUUUGUGUGUUGUGUGGGUUGUGGGACCCGAUCUUUGGAGGUAAACGUGUUAACAGGUGUGACGCAGGAAGGUAGCCAAGCCACGCGAUGGUUGUCGUGGUCUAAGCGUGUAGGGUUGUCGGUUGUUAAAUGCGCCGGCUGUGUGCCUGAGACGUGAUGGGACCCCGUUUUUGGGGGAUUUGGUGAUCCUAUGCUGCCGAGAAAAGCAUCGGCGUGAGGUUUUAGCCGCCCGUACCCUAAACCGACACAGGUGAUCAGGUAGAGAAUACUAAGGCGAUCGAGAGAAUCAUGGUUAAGGAACUCGGCAAAAUGCCCCCGUAACUUCGGGAGAAGGGGGACCUUGAGCGUGAUGGGCACUUGCUGCCUGGAGCGUGUAUGGGUCGCAGAGACCAGGGGGAAGCGACUGUUUAUCAAAAACACAGGUCCGUGCGAAGUCGUAAGACGAUGUAUACGGACUGACUCCUGCCCGGUGCUGGAAGGUUAAGAGGAUUGGUUAGCUCUUUUGAGCGAAGCUGAGAAUUUAAGCCCCAGUAAACGGCGGUGGUAACUAUAACCAUCCUAAGGUAGCGAAAUUCCUUGUCGGGUAAGUUCCG